ACUAGAUAAUUUUACAACAAAAUAAUUCGCCAGAGGACUACUAGCAAUAGCUUAAAACUCAAAGGACUUGGCGGUGCUUUAUAUCCCUCUAGAGGAGCCUGUUCUAUAAUCGAUAAACCCCGAUAAACCUCACCACCCUUUGCUAAUUCAGUCUAUAUACCGCCAUCUUCAGCAAACAA
This 179-nucleotide ribosomal RNA is filed under the name Canis aureus (golden jackal). Its description in RNAcentral is "partial small subunit ribosomal RNA". Lineage: Eukaryota; Metazoa; Chordata; Mammalia; Carnivora; Canidae. The record is from RNAcentral.